This 1908-nucleotide unclassified non-coding RNA is filed under the name Hevea brasiliensis (rubber tree). Lineage: Eukaryota; Viridiplantae; Streptophyta; Magnoliopsida; Malpighiales; Euphorbiaceae. The record is from RNAcentral.
GAAACCUGGUAUUUGGGAGACUAUUACUGAUCUCCCAUUGAUGAAGCAUUCUAGUUGUUGCCCACUGAUUAAAGGGCUCUGAUGCCAAUUUGUUGCAGAAUCCCUGAGUUAGGGUACUUCCUCAGAUAAUAAGAAGAAGGGAGAUGAGAGAAUAGAAGAAAUAAGGAUGAGAAGUAGAAGAAAGGAGAUGAGAAAAUAGAAGAAUAGGGAUGAGAAAAUUAGAGAAAAUGCUAAUAGGAGAGAAGAAUAGAUUCUGUUUUGAUGAAAAACUGUCUCUCUACACUUCAAUGCUUCUAUUUAUAAAAUAGUAUUCAGCUAACAACUACUGUUGACUAUUCAUAACUGUUUCUGUUAUUUCCCUCCACUCUCUACUAUCUAUAACAGACUCUGUAGCAAACUUCUCACUGCUAACUAUCUUUCCCUCCACUUCCUUUCUCAGCCUCAGCUAUCUUAUUCUUCCCUUUUCUUCUCCUGUAUGUGACAGUUGCUGUCCUAAAUAAUAUAUUCUUGCAAGUUUUGUGCUUGAAGCUGAUUUGACAAAGGUACACCCCUUCUCAGUUUUAAGGUCUACUUAAAAAGUUGACUUUAUGUAGAAAACUUUGUUAUUAUCCUUAAACAGUACCAGCAUAGAUUCUUCAGGUAGUUGUCAGCAGCAUAAAUAAAGUUUAAGGAUCACCAAAGAAUCCUAUCUGGAUAGCUCCGCCCAUUUUCUGCUUUGAUGGGGCAUACUCUGGGCUUCCUAGUUAGUUGACAGGAGCUAAGGUUUAGAACUUUUUGUUUUCAGAGGUUGGUUGGACUACUAAAUCUAUUUACUAAAAAAUUUGAAGCCCACAGGUCAAUGCAACGUCUCACUGUAAAAAAUAUAGAUGUCUAUGGACUGAUAAUCUGGCAAAACUGAAAGGAACAAAAUCAGUACAAUCAUGAACAUGAAAUAGAAUUUAGCUACACUGAUGACUACUGGAAUCACAUUGACUCAUUGCGAAUCAAAAUUGCUGCUAUAUAUCGGUUGUAGAGCAGAAAAUCACAAAUCAGUUUCACCAAUGGAUUGGAUGGAUUACCAUCUAGAGUGUCUAGCAUCUCACCUUUUAUAGCAAGGCCCAUUUUUCGUGUUGUUGGAAACAAGUGCUCUGCUUGAGUGAUUAGCCUGCCCAUUAGGCCAUACUUUCCAUUAUAAUGCCAUUAUUUUUAUUUAACAAUAACUUACAUGAUGACUUUGUUUAGCUCAGAUUUGUCUGUUUAUCUUUUGAUUCAAAAAAGAUGUUCUAUUUAAUUUGCUGGAGCACCAGUUUUCUGCAAAUGCUUGAUGCUUCUCCUUUUGAGAGCAUUUACCUUCCUGAAAUCAGACAGCUUACCAUUUUAAUCUAUAAACUUUUAGAUUGCCAUUAAUGAUUCUCUCUGCUAAAUUUUACCUGAUUGUGAGAUCUUGGGAGUAUUAACAUGUAUAAACUCUUUUCUUUUAUGGGUAUUGAAAUGUCAAUCCUGAAAUUUCAGGAAAGAUACAUGAGAUUGCAUCAUCAGGCAUAAGUAGUCUUAAAGGGCAUAGUGACAGGAGAAAUAAAUGCCUGAAUGACAUAAUUUCCCUAUAUGGGACUGUGCCUCUUGUUUCAAGCAAUGUAAAAGCUGUAGAUGCAAGACAAGAAUGGUUCUGGUAGUUGUGACCUUGGAAUUAUUUGGAGCCAUUAGCCAACCGAAUAGUUAUGCUUUCAGAUUCACCUCCUUGUUGCAAUCAAGUUCUGCAUUAUGCUUAUUCUACUUGUAUAUUUGUACAGGGGACCAUGUUUAAAUGAUUGUGAUGUUAACUGAUAUUUUUCUGAGUCACUCUCGCUCAUCUGCUCGUCACCCAUUCAAUGGCUGUUGACCUGUCCUAUACUUUGAUCAGAUUUUUAUUAAAAAAAAAAAAAAAAAAAA